UUCUGUUCAGUUUACUGUGCUCUACCCAUUCACGAGCGUUGGCACAAUCUUUGCAGGACACCCUGUAUAUAUAUACACAUCCCGUUCAAAUUAACACAAGACAAUUUAUAACAUUUUUAUAAAUGUUAAAAAUUGCGAUUCAAUGCAUAUAUAUAUAUAUGUGUGUGUGUGUGUGUGUGUGUGUGUGUGUGUGUGUGUGCAUUGAAUCGCAAUUUUUAACAUUUAUAGAAAUGUUAUAAAUUGUCUUGUAUUAGUUUAAACGGGAUGAUAUAAAUGAAAAGAUAUGCAUGCGCAGAAUCAGAAUUUAUGGGAACGUGAUAAAUUCUCUUUUCUUAGAAUAAUGUGGUGGGUCUUUCUUCACAUAUUUGCCGACCACUCCCUGCUCGAUUGUCCGCAGAUCUUUGUUUUUGCGCGACAGCAUGUUGACAGCUGGUCUUGAUUGAGAAAUGACAAAACGUCAAACGCGCGAGGAUACCAAAAGCGAAAACGUCACAAGACAAUAAAACCUAACCUAUAUGGACACGAGUCACAUCGAUGCAAAAAAAAAACGGAAAUAUGCAAAAAAAGAGAGAAAAAAACGAGCAUUUUACAGUUGUAUCAUACGACGCACUCUUUCAUGAACAAAUAUGACGACGAUGUGUUCUAUAUAUUGACAUGGACGUUUAUCGCGAGUUAUUAUUUUGCGUGGGGUAGCAAUCAGCCGAGCGUGCCUGUUGCAUCUGUCGAUGAAUCUGGUUGGAGUCCAGAUGGAACUUUGGCGAAUGAAAUAAUUGAGGGAAUAACAACGGAAUGAAGAAGGAUCAGAGAAUAUUAAAUUUAUAGGAUAUUUAUUUUAUCUAUUUUUUAUCAGAAGUCAGAACGUUAUUAACAAAUAAUGAUUAGAAGUCGAUUUUAACAAGAACAUUCAAGAACAUUGCGCAAAAUCUAACAUAUAAAUAAACAAUAUUAUACCUUUUUAGUCCCUCAACCUUGUAAAAUCUUCUGUAUGAGCAUUUGUACACUCAAGUUUUUUAUAUAAAUUUUCCAUUUAUGUAUUAUCCUCUCUCUCUCUCUCUCUCUUUCUCUCACAUUCAGAAAUUAAAUAUAUAUAUAUAAUUAAUGACUUGAAUAACAAAUACUAUGUAUAUAUAUAUAUACAUAUAUAUACGCGCAUGCGCACAUAAUAUAUGCAUAUGUAUGCAGAUAUAUCCAUAUAUCAAUGUGUGUGUAUAUAUACAAAUAUAUACUAGUAUGUAUAUAUAUAUAUAUAUAUAUAUAUAUAUAUAUAUAUAUAUAUAUAUGUAUAUGUAUAUAUAUAUAU
Cataglyphis hispanica is the source of this 1300-nucleotide long non-coding RNA. RefSeq lists it as uncharacterized. The transcript is spliced from 3 exons. Lineage: Eukaryota; Metazoa; Arthropoda; Insecta; Hymenoptera; Formicidae. The record is from RefSeq and is a predicted model, not a curated record.